Molecule: ribosomal RNA, 450 nt
Filed under: uncultured bacterium
Lineage: Bacteria
Description: partial 16S ribosomal RNA
Rfam family: Bacterial small subunit ribosomal RNA
Source: RNAcentral
CCUACGGGCGGCUGCAGUAAGGAAUAUUGGUCAAUGGACGAAAGUCUGACCCAGCCAUGCCGCGUGGAGGAUGAAGGUCCUCUGGAUUGUAAACUUCUUUUAUAUGGGACGAAAAAAGGCCUUUCCAGGUCGUCUGACGGUACCAUAUGAAUAAGCACCGGCUAACUCCGUGCCAGCAGCCGCGGUAAUACGGAGGGUGCAGGCGUUAUCCGGAUUCACGGGGUUGAAGGUGUGCGGGUAAGGGUUUGGAGAAAUCCCCGAGCUUAACUUGGGAACUGCCAGUGAUACUAUCAGUCUUGAAUACCGUGGAGGUCAGCGGAAUAUGUCAUGUAGCGGUGAAAUGCUUAGAUAUGACAUAGAACACCAAUUGCGAAGGCAGCUGGCUACACGAGUAUUGACACUGAGGCACGAAAGCGUGGGGAUCAAACAGGAUUAGAUACCCGAGUAGUC